Molecule: transfer RNA, 69 nt
Filed under: Sphaerodactylus townsendi
Lineage: Eukaryota; Metazoa; Chordata; Lepidosauria; Squamata; Sphaerodactylidae
Description: tRNA-Val
Rfam family: tRNA
About the family: Transfer RNA (tRNA) molecules are approximately 80 nucleotides in length.
Source: RNAcentral
GCCAUGGCUCAGUGGCAGAGUGUCUGUUUUACAUGCAGAAGGUUCCAGGUUCAGUCCUUGAUAGCUCCA